AUACGUGCUCCGGGGUCGGUGUAAUUCCGAACCGGCGGUUAUAGUCCGCGACCCGCGAGCCAUCGCGUUUCCCUCACGGGAUUCUCGACGGCGGACGGUUGAACUGGUGGAACUCCAGUACCGACAGUUAAAGUCUGGAUGGGAGAAGCACGUAC
Molecule: regulatory RNA element, 155 nt
Organism: Arthrobacter sp. SRS-W-1-2016
Lineage: Bacteria; Bacillati; Actinomycetota; Actinomycetes; Micrococcales; Micrococcaceae
Rfam family: FMN riboswitch aptamer (RFN element)
About the family: The RFN element is a highly conserved domain that is found frequently in the 5'-untranslated regions of prokaryotic mRNAs that encode for flavin mononucleotide (FMN) biosynthesis and transport proteins. This element is a metabolite-dependent riboswitch that directly binds FMN in the absence of proteins.
Source: Rfam